RNAcentral lists this ribosomal RNA (510 nucleotides) under Escherichia coli. RNAcentral's name for it is "partial 23S ribosomal RNA". It matches the Rfam family "Bacterial large subunit ribosomal RNA", at positions 1380 to 1875 of the family's 2925-position model. Lineage: Bacteria; Pseudomonadati; Pseudomonadota; Gammaproteobacteria; Enterobacterales; Enterobacteriaceae. The record is from RNAcentral.
UGAGUCGACCCCUAAGGCGAGGCCGAAAGGCGUAGUCGAUGGGAAACAGGUUAAUAUUCCUGUACUUGGUGUUACUGCGAAGGGGGGACGGAGAAGGCUAUGUUGGCCGGGCGACGGUUGUCCCGGUUUAAGCGUGUAGGCUGGUUUUCCAGGCAAAUCCGGAAAACCAAGGCUGAGGCGUGAUGACGAGGCACUACGGUGCUGAAGCGACAAAUGCCCUGCUUCCAGGAAAAGCCUCUAAGCAUCAGGUAACAUCAAAUCGUACCCCAAACCGACACAGGUGGUCAGGUAGAGAAUACCAAGGCGCUUGAGAGAACUCGGGUGAAGGAACUAGGCAAAAUGGUGCCGUAACUUCGGGAGAAGGCACGCUGAUAUGUAGGUGAAGCGACUUGCUCGUGGAGCUGAAAUCAGUCGAAGAUACCAGCUGGCUGCAACUGUUUAUUAAAAACACAGCACUGUGCAAACACGAAAGUGGACGUAUACGGUGUGACGCCUGCCCGGUGCCGGAAG